UUGGUUAAGCUAUUAAGAGCACACGGAGGAUGCCUAGGCGCUAGGAGCCGAUGAAGGACGUGGCGAACAACGAUACUGCCUCGGGGAGCUGU
This 92-nucleotide ribosomal RNA is filed under the name Paenibacillus sp. FSL H7-0326. Its description in RNAcentral is "partial 23S ribosomal RNA". It matches the Rfam family "Bacterial large subunit ribosomal RNA", at positions 1 to 89 of the family's 2925-position model. Lineage: Bacteria; Bacillati; Bacillota; Bacilli; Caryophanales; Paenibacillaceae. The record is from RNAcentral.